Molecule: ribosomal RNA, 269 nt
Filed under: uncultured bacterium
Lineage: Bacteria
Also listed under: 3 other names
Description: partial 16S ribosomal RNA
Rfam family: Bacterial small subunit ribosomal RNA
Source: RNAcentral
GAGCACGUAGGUGGGUUUGUAAGUCAGAUGUGAAAGCCUUCUGUUCAACGGAAGAAUUGCAUCUGAAACUGCGAGUCUUGAGUGUAGGAGGGGAGAAUGGAACUUCUGGUGGAGCGGUGAAAUGCGUAGAUAUCAGAAGGAACGCCGGCGGCGAAAGCGAUUCUCUGGCCUAUUACUGACACUCAGUGUGCGAAAGCUAGGGGAGCAAACGGGAUUAGAUACCCCGGUAGUCCUAGCCGUAAACGAUGGGCACUAAGUAGAGGGGUUUU